RNAcentral lists this ribosomal RNA (253 nucleotides) under uncultured bacterium. Its description in RNAcentral is "partial 16S ribosomal RNA". It matches the Rfam family "Bacterial small subunit ribosomal RNA", at positions 524 to 776 of the family's 1533-position model. The record is from RNAcentral.
UACAGAAAGUGCGAACGUUGCUCAGAAUUACUGGGCGUAAAGCGCGUGUAGGCGGAGCGCUAAGUCGAGCGUGAAAUCCCCAGGCUCAACCUGGGAACUGCGCUCGAAACUGACGUUCUCGAGUAUCGGAGAGAGUGGCGGAAUUCCUGGAGUAGAGGUGAAAUUCAUAGAUAUCAGGAGGAACACCGAUGGCGAAGGCGGCCACCUGGACGAUUACUGACGCUGAGACGCGAAAGCGUGGGGAACAAACAGG